AACGAACGCUGGCGGCAGGCCUAACACAUGCAAGUCGAGCGAGGACUUCGGUUCUAGCGGCGGACGGGUGAGUAACGCGUGGGAAUGUGCCCUUCUCUACGGAAUAGCCCUGGGAAACUGGGAGUAAUACCGUAUACGCCCUAUUGGGGAAAGAUUUAUCGGAGAAGGAUCAGCCCGCGUUGGAUUAGGUAGUUGGUGGGGUAAUGGCCUACCAAGCCGACGAUCCAUAGCUGGUUUGAGAGGAUGAUCAGCCACACUGGGACUGAGACACGGCCCAGACUCCUACGGGAGGCAGCAGUGAGGAAUCUUAGACAAUGGGGGCAACCCUGAUCUAGCCAUGCCGCGUGAGUGAUGAAGGCCUUAGGGUUGUAAAGCUCUUUCAGCUGGGAAGAUAAUGACGGUACCAGCAGAAGAAGCCCCGGCUAACUCCGUG
This 433-nucleotide ribosomal RNA is filed under the name uncultured bacterium. RNAcentral's name for it is "partial 16S ribosomal RNA". It matches the Rfam family "Bacterial small subunit ribosomal RNA", at positions 29 to 507 of the family's 1533-position model. The record is from RNAcentral.